ACACAUGCAAGUCGAGGGGCAGCGGGGAGUAGCAAUACUUCGCCGGCGACCGGCGCACGGGUGAGUAACACGUGUGCAACCAACCCCGUACCGGGAGAUAACCCGCGGAAACGUGGACUAACAUCCCAUAAUACUGGAGGAUCGCAUGAUCUUUCAUUUAAAAUUCCGGUGGUACGGGACGGGCACGCGCGACAUUAGGUAGUUGGCGGGGUAACGGCCCACCAAGCCGACGAUGUCUAGGGGUUCUGAGAGGAAGGUCCCCCACACUGGAACUGAGACACGGUCCAGACUCCUACGGGAGGCAGCAGUGAGGAAUAUUGGUCAAUGGGCGAGAGCCUGAACCAGCCAAGUCGCGUGAGGGAUGAAUGGUCCAUGGCCUGUAAACCUCUUUUGUCAAGGAAGAAUAAAUUGCACGUGUGCGAUCUUGCCAGUACUUGACGAAUAAGCAUCGGCUAACUCCGUGCCAGCAGCCGCGGUAAUACGGGGGAUGCGAGCGUUAUCCGGAUUUAUUGGGUUUAAAGGGCGCGUAGGCGGGACGCCAAGUCAGCGGUAAAAGACUGCAGCUAAACUGUAGCACGCCGUUGAAACUGGCGCCCUCGAGACGAGACGAGGGAGGCGGAACAAGUGAAGUAGCGGUGAAAUGCUUAGAUAUCACUUGGAACCCCGAUAGCGAAGGCAGCUUCCCAGGCUCGAUCUGACGCUGAUGCGCGAGAGCGUGGGUAGCGAACAGGAUUAGAUACCCUGGUAGUCCACGCCGUAAACGAUGCUCACUGG
RNAcentral lists this ribosomal RNA (774 nucleotides) under uncultured bacterium. RNAcentral's name for it is "bacterial SSU rRNA". It matches the Rfam family "Bacterial small subunit ribosomal RNA", at positions 51 to 819 of the family's 1533-position model. The record is from RNAcentral.